AAACCGCCCUUAAGUAUUGACUUUUUUGCAGUUUUGGCCCCCUAGAUCAAUUUUGACAAAGUCAAUGCACACAUGGACGCCACCUGUGUAUUUAUUUUUUAAUAAUUAAAAAAAAAUACACACGUGGCGUCGACGUCAGCUUUGACUUGGUCAAAAUUGGCAUGGGGCCAAAACUGCAAAAAAGUCAAUACUUAGGGGGCAGUUU
Medicago truncatula (barrel medic) is the source of this 205-nucleotide microRNA precursor. It matches the Rfam family "MIR2619 microRNA precursor family". NCBI's taxonomy places the organism in Eukaryota, Viridiplantae, Streptophyta, Magnoliopsida, Fabales, Fabaceae. The record is from Rfam.